AACAGAGCUGGGCGAUCUCCUAGUGUUGACAACACUUGCUGCCUGAGCUGCACAGAAAUCAGUGCUAAAGUCCUGUGUCUGCAUGUUUCUUGAAACCUUCAUCUUUUCCUGUUCUUCAGCCAAUUUACUUCUGCAAAUGCUUGGAAGUGCUGGUGAGUGGUGGAAAGCAAGCAGUCUUCAGUCUAACCAUGGAUUUCUACUGCUACUGGCUCUGUAGAAGAGAUUUUAAGCUCCAUGGUCUUUCCUUUGUACAGAGGGAGAAGAGUUACAGUGGUGGACUUCCUUGAGGAGCAGAGGCUGGAUGAAGGGGCAACAUUUUAAGGUCUCUGGUCUCUUAAUGUGCCUGGACAAAGUUCAAUUGUGUGGCAUCUGUGGGAUGUCUGGGUGCACAUGACUGUUUUUGUGGGCUUAGAGUUCUUUAUGUGACUUCCCUUAUUUUCAGCAUUAUUUUCUGGUCCCUUCCUAUUGCUUUUCUUUCAUCUGUUGCUUUCUGGUGUGUGAGAACAGUGCCCAGAUCUUCAAGAGCUCUGCCCCAUGCACAGCAGAUAAAAAGGAAACAUUUGUGGCUGGUGAUGUCCAGAGGUCUGGAGCAGUCAAGGCAUGGCUGUCAAGUCUUCACCUGGGGAAGCAGCUGUGAUCCAGAACGGUGUUUACCUGUGAAGGAUGAAGGAGGACAGCCACUCUGAUUACUGCUGAGAGUUGAAUUUAGGUGUGCAGGCUCUGAUAACCCAAGCUGGAAGCUGGCCAAGGACGCUAAGGUGAACUGCUUUUGGGUGAAGUGGUGCAAUAUCUCUAAUGACCAGAGGGACCAGGUUUUGUUUCCCUUAAACUGUUAUCAUCAUGGGGAAUUUUACACUGUUCUUAGGUUUGCAAGGAGAGGCAGAGGGAGAGCACCAUUUUAUUAAGCAAAGCCUCUGGGGAAGUAGAAAGGAGGUGCUUUUCUCAAAACCUUGACAUGUAGCACCCUUGUCACCUAUCUCAUACCAGCAAUACAGACACUCCCUGCUGGCAUUCCCCCUUCCAUCAGUGUCAGUUGGUCUCACUAAGGCUCGUUUCAGCCCUGUACCUGUGUUUUUCCCUCAGCUUCACUCCAGGUUAACUCUCAGCUGUGCUUUGCUCCUGCCUGGAGCUGUGUGCCUGGAGCCUUCAGCACUGGGAGAGCUCCACCGGGCAGUGCCUGGCCAUACAGGUGGUUGCUGAUUAGUUUGCAUUGAGCACAUUUUUAAUAAUUCUGUUCAGAUUAGGAUUUGUGCUCUGCCUAGCUCCAUGUCGACUCUCCAGCUCAGGCUGAAGCAUUGGACUUUGGGAGCAGUGAUGGUCUUCCUUGACCUCCCUAAAUAUACUCUGGACAAGCAGGGCCUGUGCCCAAUCCAAGCCUGGGCAAGUUUCCUGCUACCUUGCUCAGAGUUUCUGAAUUGGAAUUGGUUUUUGUCUUAGAUUUGCACUUCACUGCAUUGUGUGCAGCAUGGAUCUGUCCUUAGAAGGGGAGGAUCUGCUUCCACCUAGAAGAAUCCUUUAACAAAGUGAUUUAAAAAAAACGAGAAUAGGGCAGAAUUUGCAGGACAGAGAAACCCUUAUCCCAGAAGCUAAAGGCAGGAUCACAGAAAACAUGAAGUGGUGAAUAAGAGCAGGCAACAAAAACUUCAGAUACUCUGCAUAGGUAAAGCAAAAUUAUUUUUGGCUCUUGUCAUGUAUUUGGAGCAGAACUCCCUUUCUAUGUGAAACAGAAUGCCAUGAGGUUUUAAGUUCUCCAUGUGACCAGAUGGGGUUUGCCGCAACAAUAGGGUUUCUGCUUGGUUUUGGGAAGGGCAGCAGUUUUGCUGGCAACACAAAAGGCUAAGUGUGAUAAAAUAAGGAACCUUCUUCCUCCAGCACAUCUGAUUUAUGAAACUGCUGGAAAUCAAAACUUCUUUGCCAUUUGGAUAAUUUUUUUUAUUCGUCCAAACUGUACUGGAUGUUCUUCACAUAUUAAUUUGUGGAUUACAGAAUGUUCUAGGCAAAACAUCAGUGGGACAGUAAAAUGUUAAUACAAGAGUUCAGCUGACAUAAAAUAAAACCACAGUGUUCUUCUAGCCUGCUUAAUAA
This 2085-nucleotide long non-coding RNA is filed under the name Cyanistes caeruleus (blue tit). RNAcentral describes it as "lncRNA (ENSCCEG00000014444.1)". Lineage: Eukaryota; Metazoa; Chordata; Aves; Passeriformes; Paridae. The record is from RNAcentral.